RNAcentral lists this ribosomal RNA (253 nucleotides) under uncultured bacterium. RNAcentral describes it as "partial 16S ribosomal RNA". It matches the Rfam family "Bacterial small subunit ribosomal RNA", at positions 524 to 776 of the family's 1533-position model. The record is from RNAcentral.
UACAGAGGUCCCAAGCGUUGUUCGGAUUCACUGGGCGUAAAGGGUGCGUAGGCGGCGCGGUAAGUCGGGUGUGAAAUCUCGGGGCUUAACUCCGAAACUGCAUUCGAUACUGCCGUGCUUGAGGACUGGAGAGGAGACUGGAAUUUACGGUGUAGCGGUGAAAUGCGUAGAUAUCGUAAGGAAGACCAGUGGCGAAGGCGGGUCUCUGGACAGUUCCUGACGCUGAGGCACGAAGGCCAGGGGAGCAAACGGG